This 633-nucleotide ribosomal RNA is filed under the name Triticum aestivum (bread wheat). Its description in RNAcentral is "partial small subunit ribosomal RNA". The record is from RNAcentral. Lineage: Eukaryota; Viridiplantae; Streptophyta; Magnoliopsida; Poales; Poaceae.
AUGGCCACUUGGCCGGCAGUACAACCAUCGUUGCCGGACGGUGAACAGUGGGACUGGUCCCUGCAUCAGGAGAAGCCGCGCACACACUUGGCUCGCGCGCAGAUCAAGCACAAGAAGUUUGCGGAUUUGAACAGAACGAAACGUGUGUUCCAAGUCGGAGACAAAGUUCUUCUGAAACUUCAGCCUUAUGUUCAGAAAUCAGUGGCAAGUCGCCCCUGUCCCAAACUAGCAUUCAAGUUCUUCGGGCCUUUCUCCGUGCUCGAGAGGAUCGGUCCCUUUGCAUACAAACUGGAACUGCCUGGGGAUAGCCGCAUACAUCCGGUAUUCCAUGUAUCCCAACUGAAGCCAUUCACACCAAACUACAGUCCUGUGUUCUCUGAAUUGCCAGUCAUUGCUGAUCUGUCGUCAGACAAGACUGUACCAGUGAAGAUUGUGGAUCGCAGAAUGAGGAAAAGGGGCAAUGCACCGGUGAUUCAGUUGCAAGUAGCUUGGAACACGGUGCCACCUUCGACAACAUGGGAGGACUAUGAGGUGCUUCGCCAGAGUCACCCACACGCAAGCAUCUGGGAAGACGAGACACAAGAGGAGGGAGCACCAUCUCAAGGAGGGGAGAAUGUCACCACGGUAGUGUAG